AGCUCAAGAAAUUCGCAAUUGUGAACUUACUGUUGUUUUUUCGAGACAUCUCAGAAGAUGAUGAUGCUGUAAUUCGAAUAUAUCUUCAUCGCGGUAGUUAUCAUCCAGC
This is a long non-coding RNA of Rhagoletis zephyria (snowberry fruit fly), 109 nucleotides long. RefSeq lists it as uncharacterized. The record is from RefSeq and is a predicted model, not a curated record. Lineage: Eukaryota; Metazoa; Arthropoda; Insecta; Diptera; Tephritidae.